AGAUCAAGACUCCUUAGCAAUUUAAGAGAAUGAGAGAAACUUGCCGAAAUGCUUUCUAAUAGAGAAUCAGCUAGACGCUCUAGAAGAAGAAAACAAGCCCAUUUGAUUGAGCUAGAAACACAGGUUUUGUCCUUUAUCUUGUCCCUUGGGACCCAGCCUAUAACACUCUGCACUUUCUCAUCAAAGAAUACAACACUUGUAUUUGCUGCAUUAGAUAGGCCAACUGUCAUGUACAGUAGUAACAAGAAAUUACUCUACAACAAUGUAAAUUUGAAAGAGGUUAGUCAUAUGUGCCCUUUCAACUCUGCUACUUUUCCGGACAAGUAAAUUUGGCUCUCUCUCUUAAUUUAAAUUUUUUUCCCCCUCAUCAUCGCCAAUUGAAAUGUUGGAACUUGAUUCUUUUGUAUUUUUGCUUAAACAUACUUCUUGAAUUGGAAAAGGAGAAAUCUGUAAUUGUUAUUCUAGUCCAUGCUUCUAAAGGUAAUUCUAUGCCACUUGUUUUCAAAUUCAUUUUUUGUUUCCAAAAGAAGGAAAAAAUGGCUUCAUCUUUAAUUCUGCUGGCUGCUGCUGCUGCUGCCCUGGUGGCUGAUGCUUGCUGCGGCUGCUGAUGUUGCUGCAAUGUUGCUGUGAGGCGUGCAUACUGCCAAUCCAUCUGAUGAAGUUGCACCUGUCGGAAUGUGGGUGCAGUUGCACCUGCCGGGCAUGCAUGUUGAAGGGAAGGUAUAUUUUCGGGACGAUGUGUUCCGAUUUCUGCAAGAGAAAUCACACAAAAUGAACUACAUAUGGUCCACUCUUUGGAGCACAUUGAAUCUGUAGAGCUUACAAGCCGUAUUUUUUCUAGCUGCAUGUGUUCUAUUUUUUUUCUUUUUGUUGAGUGAUGCACACCAGACCAUGUGGUGGGUGUAUGUGGUUGUUGACAGAUAUGUUGAGAUUAGUCUUUAGAUUUCUUAGUUCCUGUUGAUUGGUAACGAGGGGUGACCUCUUUUUGAUUUCCUAGAAGGUUG
This is a non-coding RNA of Camellia sinensis, 1004 nucleotides long. The record is from RefSeq and is a predicted model, not a curated record. Lineage: Eukaryota; Viridiplantae; Streptophyta; Magnoliopsida; Ericales; Theaceae.